This is a non-coding RNA of Salimicrobium flavidum, 74 nucleotides long. Lineage: Bacteria; Bacillati; Bacillota; Bacilli; Caryophanales; Bacillaceae. The record is from Rfam.
GCGCCCGUAGCUCAGCUGGAUAGAGCGAUAGAUUCCGGUUCUAUAGGUCGGGGGUUCAAGUCCUCUCGGGCGCA